Schistocerca piceifrons (Central American locust) is the source of this 805-nucleotide long non-coding RNA. RefSeq lists it as uncharacterized. Lineage: Eukaryota; Metazoa; Arthropoda; Insecta; Orthoptera; Acrididae. The transcript has 2 exons. The record is from RefSeq and is a predicted model, not a curated record.
UAGUCUGUACUGCUCUCUAUUCUACAGCGCGGUUAAUGUCUGUUAGAGAACCUAUAUACACGCUCUCUAGUCUCUAACCAGUAGCGUUCGCGGUGGAUCGUCGUGUAAUACCAGCUUACAUAGUGACAGUGUACUACUGUCGUCAUUUAUAUCUUUUCAGCUGGGGUCGUGGAGUAAGCGAAGGUGUAACGUAUUGUGAUUACAGAGAACACCUCGAAAGUAGCUAGAGGUUGAUGAGGUAGACAACAGUGUGUCGUAUGAAAGUGUUCCUGCAGCAUCUUCCACCACUAAUAUUGCAGAAGUCCAAGAAGAUUGUGGGGGGCCUCUGGACAUUGAAAGAAGUGUUUGUGUGUGUGCCACGUGAUAUGCUACUGCCAGGUCCAGUGUCAUACCAGAUUCAAAGGUUGUUUCGGAUUAAGUACAAAUGUAAUAUUGCCUUUUCUGCAAAUAACAACUUGAGAAAAAAAUGUCAUCCAUAAUUUAAAGUCUGCAGAAUUCUGGUGUCUACAAGAUUUCAUGUGACACAUUGCAGUGCCUAUUAUAUUGGUCAAACAGGACGUGCCUUUUCAGUUUGCUGUAAAGAACAUUUUCUGAGGGAAAACGGUUCGUGUGCCCCUAAUUCUUCUUAAGCUAAUGUGCAAGUGUGUCUUAAUUGUGCCGGUCUGCAAUGUAAUGUGUAAUCUUUAUGGUGAGUAGCACUCUUCUCUGUACAUUGUUGGAAUACCAACCUGGAGUUCCUAUUGUUUGAAAUAAUUACAAAAGUUAUUUAUGAAGAGCUAAACAAUAAAAUGUUGUGAAAAUUGAA